Astatotilapia calliptera (eastern happy) is the source of this 643-nucleotide long non-coding RNA. The record is from Ensembl. NCBI's taxonomy places the organism in Eukaryota, Metazoa, Chordata, Actinopteri, Cichliformes, Cichlidae.
AGGAAGAUGUUCUUUAAGUCAUUUCCUGUACCGUGGGGAUUUUUCAGCUUUGGGAGGCGGGUUUACAGCAGGAACCUGCCUCGCCAAACUUUGAUCAAAGUGGCUUGCCUUGUGGAGAGGAAGCCUCUACAGUCAGCCUCUCAGAGUAGAUGUAGCAGUCCCGUCCACCUUCCACUGGGAUGCGGGAUCCCACCUUCAGCUCGUACAGUAGCUGCGUCUGUUUGACCUCAUCGCACAGUAUAUGACACCACCCCACGAGGUGCGCUUACAGACCAUCUCACAGCCACCAGAAGAUGUCACUCGAUGAGGGUAAAGUAGCUGAAACGGAAUCAUGUAGCACUAGUUUUACUGGAUGAAGCGAUGUGCGUUGCGUUUAGGGUCGAGGACGUGUUGAGCUUCGAUGUUUGUCUCCUUGGCGGUUCUUCAGUGUGUAGCAAAGACAGUCACCAAUCACUGUGAUGAGAAACUGUAAUACUGACCCGUAACUGUGAGCCUGACCCGUCCAGAAGCAUGUCUCUUGUUCCGCUCCUUUCUUUAGUCUUCUUGUCACGAUUUGCUGUCUUAACUGUACUCCAGAAGUAGAAGCAAUAACUGCUUUAAAUGGAAAGGAUUAUUCAUGUGUGUGUGUGUGUGUGUGUGUGUG